This 1942-nucleotide ribosomal RNA is filed under the name Aspergillus tubingensis. Its description in RNAcentral is "partial 28S ribosomal RNA". It matches the Rfam family "Eukaryotic large subunit ribosomal RNA", at positions 1 to 1958 of the family's 3401-position model. Lineage: Eukaryota; Fungi; Ascomycota; Eurotiomycetes; Eurotiales; Aspergillaceae. The record is from RNAcentral.
UGACCUCGGAUCAGGUAGGGAUACCCGCUGAACUUAAGCAUAUCAAUAAGCGGAGGAAAAGAAACCAACCGGGAUUGCCUCAGUAACGGCGAGUGAAGCGGCAAGAGCUCAAAUUUGAAAGCUGGCUCCUUCGGAGUCCGCAUUGUAAUUUGCAGAGGAUGCUUUGGGUGCGGCCCCCGUCUAAGUGCCCUGGAACGGGCCGUCAGAGAGGGUGAGAAUCCCGUCUUGGGCGGGGUGUCCGUGCCCGUGUAAAGCUCCUUCGACGAGUCGAGUUGUUUGGGAAUGCAGCUCUAAAUGGGUGGUAAAUUUCAUCUAAAGCUAAAUACUGGCCGGAGACCGAUAGCGCACAAGUAGAGUGAUCGAAAGAUGAAAAGCACUUUGAAAAGAGAGUUAAACAGCACGUGAAAUUGUUGAAAGGGAAGCGCUUGCGACCAGACUCGCCCGCGGGGUUCAGCCGGCAUUCGUGCCGGUGUACUUCCCCGUGGGCGGGCCAGCGUCGGUUUGGGCGGCCGGUCAAAGGCCCCUGGAAUGUAGUACCCUCCGGGGUACCUUAUAGCCAGGGGUGCAAUGCGGCCAGCCUGGACCGAGGAACGCGCUUCGGCACGGACGCUGGCAUAAUGGUCGUAAACGACCCGUCUUGAAACACGGACCAAGGAGUCUAACAUCUACGCGAGUGUUCGGGUGUCAAACCCGUGCGCGCAGUGAAAGCGAACGGAGGUGGGAGCCCCCUCGCGGGGCGCACCAUCGACCGAUCCUGAUGUCUUCGGAUGGAUUUGAGUAAGAGCGUAAAUGUGGGGACCCGAAAGAUGGUGAACUAUGCCUGAAUAGGGCGAAGCCAGAGGAAACUCUGGUGGAGGCUCGCAGCGGUUCUGACGUGCAAAUCGAUCGUCAAAUUUGGGUAUAGGGGCGAAAGACUAAUCGAACCAUCUAGUAGCUGGUUCCUGCCGAAGUUUCCCUCAGGAUAGCAGUAACGCAAAAUCAGUUUUAUGAGGUAAAGCGAAUGAUUAGAGGCAUUGGGGUUGAAACAACCUUAACCUAUUCUCAAACUUUAAAUAUGUAAGAAGCCCUUGUUGCUUAGUUGAACGUGGGCAUUAGAAUGGAGCGUUACUAGUGGGCCAUUUUUGGUAAGCAGAACUGGCGAUGCGGGAUGAACCGAACGCGAGGUUAAGGUGCCGGAAUGCACGCUCAUCAGACACCACAAAAGGUGUUAGUUCAUCUAGACAGCCCGACGGUGGCCAUGGAAGUCGGAAUCCGCUAAGGAGUGUGUAACAACUCACGGGCCGAAUGAACUAGCCCUGAAAAUGGAUGGCGCUCAAGCGUGCUACCCAUACCUCGCCGUCGGGGUAGAAACGAUGCCCCGACGAGUAGGCAGGCGUGGGGGUCCGUGACGAAGCCUUGGGAGUGAUCCCGGGUCGAACGGCCCCUAGUGCAGAUCUUGGUGGUAGUAGCAAAUACUCAAAUGAGAACUUUGAGGACUGAAGUGGGGAAAGGUUCCAUGUGAACAGCAGUUGGACAUGGGUUAGUCGAUCCUAAGGCAUAGGGAAGUUCCGUUUGAAAGGCGCCCUCGUGCGCCGUGUGCCGAAAGGGAAGCCGGUUAAUAUUCCGGCACCUGGAUGUGGAUUCUCCACGGCAACGUAACUGAACGCGGAGACAUCGGCGGGGGUCCUGGGAAGAGUUCUCUUUUCUUCUUGACGGCCUAUCACCCUGAAAUCGGUUUGUCCGGAGCUAGGGUUCCACGGCCGGCAGAGCCCUGCACCUUUGCAGGGUCCGGUGCGCCCCCGACGAUCCUUGAAAAUCCGCGGGAAGGAAUAGUUUUCACGCCAGGUCGUACUCAUAACCGCAGCAGGUCUCCAAGGUGAACAGCCUCUAGUUGAUAGAACAAUGUAGAUAAGGGAAGUCGGCAAAAUGGAUCCGUAACUUCGGGAUAAGGAUUGGCUCUAAG